UUUAUUUACAUUAAGAAAAAUUGCUGUGAGAUGUCAUAUUAGCUUUCUGCAGCUGUUAUAGCAAAUUAUCACAAACCUGGUCACUUAAAACAACAGAAGCGUAUCCUCUUACAGCUAUGGAGGCCAGGAGUCUGAGACCAGUGGCAAUGAUGUCAGUUUUACCAGGCGCCAGCAGGGCCACCUCCCUCCAGAGGCUCCAAGGGAGAAUCUAUUUCCUUGACUGUCCAGCUUCUAAAGCUACUUUCCUUGGCUCAUGGGCUCUUCCUCCACCUCCAAAGACAGCACCAUCUUCGAAUCUUUCUCUCUGCUUCCAUUAUCACAUCAUCUUUUGCCCUCUGUGUCUCGUAGAAUCUCUCUCUGCUUCCCUAACAGCGUUCAGAGCCUGUCCAGAUCAUCCAGGAUAAGCUCCAUCUCAAAUUCCUCCACAUAAUCUCAUCUGCAGGGCUCUGUCAACCAUUUUUGCCACGUAAGCUAACAUCUACAGGUUCUAGAGACUCCGAUGCAGAUAUCUUUUGAGGAGCCAUUUUUCAGCCUACCACAGGUGCUAAGUAAGUUCUUUAUUCUCUCUGAGCCUCAGCUUCCUCAUCUGGAAGUGAUAUAUGCAAACGUGAAGUAAAUUAGGAGGGCUGAUCUGCCACUGGACUGGUAGAAGGGGAAGGCAGGAGCUGAAGACCACCUUGUCCUGGGCAAAUGAGACCUGACACUACUCUCUUCCCUAUGUUUCUCCCCUCCACACUGGCCAGAGUUCCUGAUGAGGAUGUGGUAGUAUAAGCAAAGAAAUCUGGAGCUAGGGAUCCUAAGAUCUAAGUUCAAGUCCCAGCCCUGUCAGCAACUUGCAGCAUGACCUCAGAUGAGGCCGUGUAUGGUAGAAAAGGUACUGUUCUGGAAAUCGAGAGACCUGGAUCCCAACUUCAACUCUCUUAUCACCUGAUGGAAUAACUUGAAAGGAGUCAACCCUUCAGAGUUGAAACUUCAAGAGUUUCAAGAGUCAAAACAGCUGAGUCAAUGCUCCGAAGGACUCUAUUUCCUCCUCUGCAGAACAGCAGCAGUGGAGCACAGAGAAGCAGAGCAUUUCGGGGACAAGAUGCCAGCCUCAAAUCCACUUCCUAGACACAUGGCAAUCUCUUCAAAUAAACGAAUCAGUUACUAACCCCA
Sapajus apella (tufted capuchin) is the source of this 1155-nucleotide long non-coding RNA. RefSeq lists it as uncharacterized. The record is from RefSeq and is a predicted model, not a curated record. NCBI's taxonomy places the organism in Eukaryota, Metazoa, Chordata, Mammalia, Primates, Cebidae. The transcript is spliced from 2 exons.